UACGGGGGGUGCGAGCGUUGUCCGGAAUUACUGGGCGUAAAGGGCGCGUAGGCGGCCCGCUAAGUCGAACGUGAAAUCCCCGAGCUCAACUCGGGAACUGCGUCCGAUACUGGUGGGCUUGAAUCCGGGAGAGGGAUGCGGAAUUCCAGGUGUAGCGGUGAAAUGCGUAGAUAUCUGGAGGAACACCGGUGGCGAAGGCGGCAUCCUGGACCGGCAUUGACGCUGAGGCGCGAAAGCUAGGGGAGCAAACGGGG
Molecule: ribosomal RNA, 254 nt
Filed under: uncultured bacterium
Lineage: Bacteria
Description: partial 16S ribosomal RNA
Rfam family: Bacterial small subunit ribosomal RNA
Source: RNAcentral